UGUGUACUCCCUCCAUUCCAAAAUACUUGACUUCCAUUUGUCCAAAAAUGGAUGUACCUAUAUACUAAGACAUGUCUAGAUACAUAUAUAUUUUGACAAAUAGAAGGCAUGUAUUAUGCAAGGGAGGGAGUAGAAU
This is a non-coding RNA of Triticum aestivum (bread wheat), 136 nucleotides long. The record is from Rfam. NCBI's taxonomy places the organism in Eukaryota, Viridiplantae, Streptophyta, Magnoliopsida, Poales, Poaceae.